GCAGUCCCCGCCUUACCACUCGGCCAUAUCGCC
Molecule: transfer RNA, 33 nt
Filed under: Eryngium coronatum
Lineage: Eukaryota; Viridiplantae; Streptophyta; Magnoliopsida; Apiales; Apiaceae
Also listed under: 19 other names
Description: partial tRNA-Cys
Source: RNAcentral